UACGAAGGGGGCUAGCGUUGCUCGGAAUCACUGGGCGUAAAGCGCACGUAGGCGGACUCUUAAGUCGGUGGUGAAAUCCUGGAGCUCAACUCCAGAACUGCCUCCGAUACUGGGAGCCUUCGAGUCCGGGAGAGGUGAGUGGAACUGCGAGUGUAGAGGUGAAAUUCGUAGAUAUUCGCAAGAACACCAGUGGCGAAGGCGGCUCACUGGCCCGGUACUGACGCUGAGGCACGAAAGCGUGGGGAGCAAACAGG
RNAcentral lists this ribosomal RNA (254 nucleotides) under uncultured bacterium. RNAcentral describes it as "partial 16S ribosomal RNA". It matches the Rfam family "Bacterial small subunit ribosomal RNA", at positions 524 to 776 of the family's 1533-position model. The record is from RNAcentral.